UUUAAUGUAAAAAGCCUGUUGUGUAACUUUAAUGAGGCAGUUGGACUAAAACAGUAUUGCUCGUCAAGGUAAACAUCUGAGGAAUAAGGAAAUUGUUACUUGUCCUUUUACUCAGUGUUCUUUUAAUCGCACAUUUACUAAAGUUUUACAUCACAUAAGUCAUUUUCACAAUCAUUCUACUUUAAAAGAUUUCAAGACAGAGCUUAUUGUUCUCUGAACUUCCUUGUUUGCUGAACGGCAGGUUGAAGCAGAAUUUGCCCGUCUUACAUCUGUUGACCUGAAAGGGUUCCUUUUUGCUGUGCUUGACCAUUAUGGAGAGGUUCGUGGAGCUGUACAAAAUCAAGAGCGGCAUAGGAGGGCUAACUAGGCUCAUAAAAUGCUUCGGAGAUGAUAGCCCUACACAAAGGAAGAGGACAGAGGACCUCAUUUUCUAAAGGAAGAUCCCUCACACACUUUGAAGCCUGUGAAGCCGACAGGUAUUGAAGACGCGUUUUCUAAGA
This 500-nucleotide long non-coding RNA is filed under the name Oreochromis niloticus (Nile tilapia). RNAcentral describes it as "lncRNA (ENSONIG00000028205.1)". Lineage: Eukaryota; Metazoa; Chordata; Actinopteri; Cichliformes; Cichlidae. The record is from RNAcentral.